GCUCAUAUGGCCGAGUGGUCUAAGGCGAUGGUUUUAAGAAAUUUCUUCUGAAACACCAUUAUCGAAAGAUGCGUGAGUUCGAACCUCACUGUGAGCA
Pseudogymnoascus pannorum is the source of this 97-nucleotide transfer RNA. It matches the Rfam family "tRNA". Rfam says of the family: Transfer RNA (tRNA) molecules are approximately 80 nucleotides in length. The record is from Rfam. Lineage: Eukaryota; Fungi; Ascomycota; Leotiomycetes; Thelebolales; Thelebolaceae.